AGUUCUUUAGUAUAAUUUAGUAUGUUUGAUUUCCAAUCAAAGGGUAAAAGGAAUUA
RNAcentral lists this transfer RNA (56 nucleotides) under Poteriostomum imparidentatum. RNAcentral's name for it is "tRNA-Gly". The record is from RNAcentral. Lineage: Eukaryota; Metazoa; Nematoda; Chromadorea; Rhabditida; Strongylidae.